Molecule: ribosomal RNA, 253 nt
Filed under: uncultured bacterium
Lineage: Bacteria
Description: partial 16S ribosomal RNA
Rfam family: Bacterial small subunit ribosomal RNA
Source: RNAcentral
UACGGAGGGGGCUAGCGUUGUUCGGAAUUACUGGGCGUAAAGCGCACGUAGGCGGCUUUGUAAGUUAGAGGUGAAAGCCCAGGGCUCAACCCUGGAAUUGCCUUUAAGACUGCAUCGCUAGAAUUGUGGAGAGGUAAGUGGAAUUCCGAGUGUAGAGGUGAAAUUCGUAGAUAUUCGGAAGAACACCAGUGGCGAAGGCGGCUCACUGGCCCGAUACUGACGCUGAGGCACGAAAGCGUGGGGAGCAAACAGG